AGCAGCCGCCGCGGGAAUACGGAGGGAGCUAGCGUUGUUCGGAAUUACUGGGCGUAAAGCGCGCGUAGGCGGUUACUCAAGUCAGAGGUGAAAGCCCGGGGCUCAACCCCGGAACUGCCUUUGAAACUAGGUGACUAGAAUCUUGGAGAGGUCAGUGGAAUUCCGAGUGUAGAGGUGAAAUUCGUAGAUAUUCGGAAGAACACCAGUGGCGAAGGCGACUGACUGGACAAGUAUUGACGCUGAGGUGCGAAAGCGUGGGGAGCAAACAGGAUUAGAUACCCCUGUAGUCCCUGUCUCUUAUAC
Molecule: ribosomal RNA, 303 nt
Filed under: uncultured bacterium
Lineage: Bacteria
Description: partial 16S ribosomal RNA
Rfam family: Bacterial small subunit ribosomal RNA
Source: RNAcentral